CAAGAAGUUACAAAGAAAAGGAGUUUAUGCACUUCCUGAACAAAAGAUUGCAGCCUCAGACACGUGGCAAAUAGAACCAAGUAAGUAUCUCCUGUAUUAAUCCUCUUGUAUUUCAAUAAGAACCAGACUUAUUUCCUGCAAGGAAAACUUACCACUUGUGAAUGACUGAGUUACGACAAAUACACAGCUAAAACCUUAACUCUGACAGCAAUCCUGUGAAGAGCAACCUUACAAAGCAGAAGAGAGCUCAAUUUCCGACUUUCCAUAUGGAAGAGUGUCUGCUGAUCCACACCAGACCCUGCUCUGGUGAGAAGUAAAUGCUCCCGAGCUUCAUUUCCAUGACAACACUGAACUAAUACUGCUGCCAAGCCGAGGCCAUCCUAAUAGACAACCAGUGGAACACGAAGCUAGACCCACGCGAGGACAUGGAGUAUUCGAGAGCUUCAACAGGCAGGGCAGAGGUUUCCAUUUUAUUCCGGAGCAAAUGAGAAAACAGAAUAUUUGGCUUGGGACAUUACCAGAACUGAUUGAUUUCAUUUUAGGUUUAGCUCCUGAGAUUCUGUUUUUAAGAUGUAUCUAUUGGGGAGGCAGAAUCUCACACACACACACACACACACACACACACACAGAGAGAGAGAGAGAGAGAGAGGGAGGGAGAGAGGGAGGGAGGGAGGGAGAGAGAUC
This is a non-coding RNA of Oryctolagus cuniculus (rabbit), 684 nucleotides long. NCBI's taxonomy places the organism in Eukaryota, Metazoa, Chordata, Mammalia, Lagomorpha, Leporidae. The record is from RefSeq and is a predicted model, not a curated record.